ACUCCUACGGGGAGGCACAGUGGGGGAAUAUUNCACAAUUGGGGCGCAAAGCCUGAUGCAGCCAUGCCCGCGUGUAUGAAANAAGGCCUUCGGGUUGUAAAGUACUUUCAGCAGUGAGGAAGGUGGAGUCGUUAAUAGCGGCCUCAUUUGACGUUAGCUGCAGAAGAAGCACCGGCUAACUCCGUGCCAGCAGCCGCGGUAAUACGGAGGGUGCGAGCGUUAAUCGGAAUUACUGGGCGUAAAGCGCAUGCAGGUGGUUUGUUAAGUCAGAUGUGAAAGCCCGGGGCUCAAACCUCGGGAAAUAGCAUUUGAAACUGGCAGACUAGAGUACUGUAGAGGGGGGUAGAAUUUCAGGUGUAGCGGUGAAAUGCGUAGAGAUCUGAAGGAAUACCGGUGGCGAAGGCGGCCCCCUGGACAGAUACUGACACUCAGAUGCGAAAGCGUGGGGAGCAAACAGGAUUAGAUACCCUGGUAG
Molecule: ribosomal RNA, 475 nt
Filed under: uncultured bacterium
Lineage: Bacteria
Description: bacterial SSU rRNA
Rfam family: Bacterial small subunit ribosomal RNA
Source: RNAcentral